Marmota monax (woodchuck) is the source of this 1184-nucleotide long non-coding RNA. RefSeq lists it as uncharacterized. Lineage: Eukaryota; Metazoa; Chordata; Mammalia; Rodentia; Sciuridae. The transcript is spliced from 2 exons. The record is from RefSeq and is a predicted model, not a curated record.
GAAAUCGUAAUCUUCUUGUAAGUAUCUACACAGAAAUGAUCAAAAUUCUUCAUAAAAAUACCUUUUUUUCCUUAGAAGUGUAAAAAUAACCCAUGCUACAUGACUACAGCAACUGAGAUUUAUAAAAUCUAGCCAUAAUGAAGAGAUUGAUGAAUAAUGUCUAUUUUCUGAUAAUUGUUUUUUUAAAUGAUCACUGAAUAAAUGAUAUUGGCUAUUGAGAAAAAAACAAAGUAAACUUGUCAGAAUUUCUAAACAACAAGUAUAUAAUACAAGAGUUUAAGUAAAAUUAUUAUAGAACACUUUAAUAGAAAUAUUAAUCUCUAACUUAUAACUUGCAAUUUUCCAGGAAAGUUUCUGUAAAGUAACUAACUAGCUUAUUCCUUUAAAGAUAGAAUAUACAUUAUCUAAGGCUAAUAAUCUUUUUAAGAUGCAAGAUAGAUUUUAAUCCAAUACACAAGCAACAAGGAUAGAACUAGCAAUUUUAGGUAGUUGUGUUUCUGUAUAAAUCUGAACUAAUUACUAUAAACAUUAUUAAAUAUUUACAUGUGCAUUUUAAUAGUAUUUCAGACUGCAAAAUUACCAGAGGGCACAUUCCUGGCCUUCCUGCCUUUGGAUCAAAUCUCCUAAAAUGAAAAGGCAAAGGACCAAACCCAACAUCUGGCCAGUAUGAGACAAGCCACUGAACUAAAUCCUCAACUGCUGCCUAUCUACACCGCAACCAGUUCUCUCCUACCCAUAUAUUUUGAAGAAAUGACCGAGAUCAUAUCAUUUCACCUGAAUAUUUUCGAGUAUGUAUCCCUACAAAAAAAAUACUUAAAAAAUAUUAUUACCAUACCUUAAAAAAAUUAUCAUCUAGUAACAUCAAAUAAAUAGCCAGAGAUCAAAUUUCAACUCCCACUACUGAGCUACGUUUCCAGCCCCUAAAUAAGCUUUCUUGCACAUUAUCUAGAUCAUUGAGUUAAACCCCCAGCUCAUGGAUUUUACCUCUCGUCAUCUUCAUUUUCACUAAAGGCUGUUUUGAAAACAUUUAUUCUUUCUACCAGUUGACUACAAUCUUGUUUCAUAUCCAAAUCCAUGCUCUAAAGAAAAACAAAGGACAAAGAACAACAACAAAAAAACUUACUAAAAUUUAUCAAAAACUCAUGGAAACAUGAAUAUUACUAUAUUAAAAAUUCUCAAUACAA